GGUCCAGACACCUACGGGUGGCAGCAGUCGAGAAUUUUUCUCAAUGGGGGAAACCCUGAAGGAGCGACGCCGCGUGGGGGAUGAAUGGCUUCGGCCCGUGAACCCCUGUCAUUUGCGAACAAAAUUUACAUUUUAAUAGAGUGUGAACUGAUUGUAGCGAAAGAGGAAGGGACGGCUAACUCUGUGCCAGCAGCCGCGGUAAUACAGAGGUCCCAAGCGUUGUUCGGAUUCACUGGGCGUAAAGGGUGCGUAGGCGGUCGGGUAAGUUUGAUGUGAAAUCUCUGGGCUUAACCCAGAAAUGGCAUUGAAUACUAUUCGGCUAGAGAAUCGGAGGGGGGACUGGAAUACUUGGUGUAGCAGUGAAAUGCGUAGAUAUCAAGUGGAACACCAGUGGCGAAGGCGAGUCCCUGGACGAUUUCUGACGCUGAGGCACGAAAGCUAGGGGAGCAAACAGGAUUAGAUACCCUGGUAGUCCUAGCUGUAAACGGUGCACGUUUGCUGUAAAAGGAAUCGACCCCUUUUGUGGCGAAGCUAACGCGUUAAACGUGCCGCCUGGGAAGUACGGUCGCAAGAUUAAAACUCAAAGAAAUUGACGGGGGCCUGCACAAGCGGUGAGUAUGUGGCUUAAUUCGAUUCAACGCGAAGAACCUUACCUGGCCUUGACAUGCAAGUGGUAGAACCUUGAAAGAGGGACGAACCCGCAAGGGUAGCUUGCACAGGUGCUGCAUGGCUGUCGUCAGCUCGUGUCGUGAGAUGUUGGGUUAAGUUCCGCAACGAGCGCAACCCCUGUGUCCUGUUGCCACCCGGCCGAGAGGCUGGAGCACUCUGGACAGACUGCCUCGCUUAAACGAGGAGGAAGGUGGGGAUGACGUCAAGUCAGUAUGGCCCUUACGGCCAGGGCUGCACACGUACUACAAUGCCCGGUACAAAGGGAAGCAAGACCGCGAGGUGGAGCAAAUCCCCUAAAACCGGGCUCAGUUCAGAUUGUAGUCUGCAACUCGACUACAUGAAGCUGGAAUCGCUAGUAAUGGCGCAUCAGCUACGGCGCCGUGAAUACGUUCCCAGGCCUUGUACACACCGCCCGUCACAUCAUGAAAGCCGUUUGUACCCGAAGUCGUCGUGCUAACCGCAAGGAGGCAGAUGCCGAAGGUAUGGAUGGUGAUUGGGAUGAAGUCGUAACAAGGUAGCCGUAGGGGAACCUGCGGCUG
This 1208-nucleotide ribosomal RNA is filed under the name metagenome. RNAcentral's name for it is "bacterial SSU rRNA". It matches the Rfam family "Bacterial small subunit ribosomal RNA", at positions 328 to 1520 of the family's 1533-position model. The record is from RNAcentral.